UCUCAGGAUAGAUGGGCUCUGGUCCUAGCUUUGAAUUGGUCUGAUGGAUGACCCUGGGCAAUUCACUUCCACUCUCUGUGCCUCUGUUUACCCAUCUGUAAAAUGGGAAUUAUGAUACUGAUUCUCCUUUGUAAAGAGCU
Molecule: small nucleolar RNA, 140 nt
Filed under: Gopherus agassizii (Agassiz's desert tortoise)
Lineage: Eukaryota; Metazoa; Chordata; Testudines; Testudinidae
Description: Small nucleolar RNA ACA59 (ENSGAGG00000010698.1)
Source: RNAcentral